RNAcentral lists this transfer RNA (63 nucleotides) under Ovis aries (sheep). It matches the Rfam family "tRNA". Rfam says of the family: Transfer RNA (tRNA) molecules are approximately 80 nucleotides in length. Their secondary structure includes four short double-helical elements and three loops (D, anti-codon, and T loops). The record is from Rfam by way of RNAcentral. Lineage: Eukaryota; Metazoa; Chordata; Mammalia; Artiodactyla; Bovidae.
UCUCAGUUGGUAAAGCAUCUGCCUACAAUGCAGGAGACCCAGGUUCGAUUCCUGGGUUGGGAA